Molecule: ribosomal RNA, 832 nt
Filed under: Escherichia coli
Lineage: Bacteria; Pseudomonadati; Pseudomonadota; Gammaproteobacteria; Enterobacterales; Enterobacteriaceae
Description: bacterial LSU rRNA
Rfam family: Bacterial large subunit ribosomal RNA
Source: RNAcentral
CAACCGAGAUUCCCCCAGUAGCGGCGAGCGAACGGGGAGCAGCCCAGAGCCUGAAUCAGUGUGUGUGUUAGUGGAAGCGUCUGGAAAGGCGUGCGAUACAGGGUGACAGCCCCGUACACAAAAAUGCACAUGCUGUGAGCUCGAUGAGUAGGGCGGGACACGUGGUAUCCUGUCUGAAUAUGGGGGGACCAUCCUCCAAGGCUAAAUACUCCUGACUGACCGAUAGUGAACCAGUACCGUGAGGGAAAGGCGAAAAGAACCCCGGCGAGGGGAGUGAAAAAGAACCUGAAACCGUGUACGUACAAGCAGUGGGAGCACAGAGCAAUCUGUGUGACUGCGUACCUUUUGUAUAAUGGGUCAGCGACUUAUAUUCUGUAGCAAGGUUAACCGAAUAGGGGAGCCGAAGGGAAACCGAGUCUUAACUGGGCGUUAAGUUGCAGGGUAUAGACCCGAAACCCGGUGAUCUAGCCAUGGGCAGGUUGAAGGUUGGGUAACACUAACUGGAGGACCGAACCGACUAAUGUUGAAAAAUUAGCGGAUGACUUGUGGCUGGGGGUGAAAGGCCAAUCAAACCGGGAGAUAGCUGGUUCUCCCCGAAAGCUAUUUAGGUAGCGCCUCGUGAAUUCAUCUCCGGGGGUAGAGCACUGUUUCGGCAAGGGGGUCAUCCCGACUUACCAACCCGAUGCAAACUGCGAAUACCGGAGAAUGUUAUCACGGGAGACACACGGCGGGUGCUAACGUCCGUCGUGAAGAGGGAAACAACCCAGACCGCCAGCUAAGGUCCCAAAGUCAUGGUUAAGUGGGAAACGAUGUGGGAAGGCCCAGACAGCCA